RNAcentral lists this ribosomal RNA (483 nucleotides) under uncultured bacterium. RNAcentral's name for it is "partial 16S ribosomal RNA". It matches the Rfam family "Bacterial small subunit ribosomal RNA", at positions 39 to 507 of the family's 1533-position model. The record is from RNAcentral.
GGGGGGGGGGGGGGGGGGGGGGGGGGGGGGGGGGGCGGGGGGGUGAGGGGGGCUUGCUCCGGGAGUCAGCGGCGGACGGGUGAGUAAUGCCUAGGAAUCUGCCUGUAGUGGGGGAUAACGUCCGGAAACGGGCGCUAAUACCGCAUACGUCCUGGGGGAGAAAGUGGGGGAUCUUCGGACCUCACGCUAUCAGAUGAGCCUAGGUCGGAUUAGCUAGUUGGUGGGGUAAAGGCCUACCAAGGCGACGAUCCGUAACUGGUCUGAGAGGAUGAUCAGUCACACUGGAACUGAGACACGGUCCAGACUCCUACGGGAGGCAGCAGUGGGGAAUAUUGGACAAUGGGCGAAAGCCUGAUCCAGCCAUGCCGCGUGUGUGAAGAAGGUCUUCGGAUUGUAAAGCACUUUAAGUUGGGAGGAAGGGCAGUAAGUUAAUACCUUGCUGUUUUGACGUUACCAACAGAAUAAGCACCGGCUAACUUCGUG